This 300-nucleotide ribosomal RNA is filed under the name uncultured Methanopyrus sp. RNAcentral describes it as "bacterial SSU rRNA". It matches the Rfam family "Bacterial small subunit ribosomal RNA", at positions 496 to 795 of the family's 1533-position model. Lineage: Archaea; Methanobacteriati; Methanobacteriota; Methanopyri; Methanopyrales; Methanopyraceae. The record is from RNAcentral.
GAUAACUACUGUGCAGGUGCGGGGGUACUUAGUAGGGGGUGUGCGGUGGCCGGAAGCAGUGGCGGGAAGUCGCGUGUAGGCGGCGGGGGAAGGCCGCUCGGAAGGGCGGUGGCGCAACCCCGGGAGGCGUGUGGAUACUGGUCAGCUCGAGUCCGGAAGAGGAGGUUGGAAUUCCUGGUGUAGCGGUGAAAUGCGCAGAUAUCAGGAGGAACACCGAUGGCGAAGGCAGCACUCUGGGACGGUACUGACGCUGAGACGCGAAAGCGUGGGGAGCAAACAGGAUUAGAUACCCCAUUAGUC